Molecule: ribosomal RNA, 253 nt
Filed under: uncultured bacterium
Lineage: Bacteria
Description: partial 16S ribosomal RNA
Rfam family: Bacterial small subunit ribosomal RNA
Source: RNAcentral
UACGAAGGGGGCUAGCGUUGCUCGGAAUUACUGGGCGUAAAGCGCACGUAGGCGGCUUCUUAAGUCGGGGGUGAAAUCCUGGAGCUCAACUCCAGAACUGCCUUCGAUACUGGGAAGCUCGAGUUCGGGAGAGGUGAGUGGAACUGCGAGUGUAGAGGUGAAAUUCGUAGAUAUUCGCAAGAACACCAGUGGCGAAGGCGGCUAUCUGGACGGUUUCUGACGCUAAGACGCGAAAGCGUGGGGAGCAAACAGG